UCUCCGUAGGUGAACCUGCGGAGGGAUCAUUACUGAGUGAGGGCUCCGGCCCGACCUCCAACCCCAUGUGAACUUACCAUUGUUGCCUCGGCAGAAGCUGCUCGGUGCACCCUACCUUGGAACGGCCUACCCUGUAGCGCCUUACCCUGGAACGGCUUACCCUGUAACGGCUGCCGGUGGACUACCAAACUCUUGUUAUUUUAUUGUAAUCUGAGCGUCUUAUUUUAAUAAGUCAAAACUCUCAACAACGGAUCUCUUGGUUCUGGCAUCGAUGAAGAACGCAGU
This 285-nucleotide unclassified non-coding RNA is filed under the name uncultured fungus. Its description in RNAcentral is "sequence contains ITS1, 5.8S rRNA gene". The stretch from base 237 to 285 matches the Rfam family "5.8S ribosomal RNA", at positions 1 to 49 of the family's 154-position model. The record is from RNAcentral. Lineage: Eukaryota; Fungi.